Molecule: ribosomal RNA, 425 nt
Filed under: uncultured bacterium
Lineage: Bacteria
Description: partial 16S ribosomal RNA
Rfam family: Bacterial small subunit ribosomal RNA
Source: RNAcentral
GUGGGGAAUCUUGCGCAAUGGGCGAAAGCCUGACGCAGCCAUGCCGCGUGGAUGAUGAAGGUCUUAGGAUUGUAAAAUCCUUUCACCGGUGAAGAUAAUGACUGUAGCCGGAGAAGAAGCCCCGGCUAACUUCGUGCCAGCAGCCGCGGUAAUACGAAGGGGGCUAGCGUUGCUCGGAUUUACUGGGCGUAAAGGGCGCGUAGGCGGACAUUUAAGUCAGGGGUGAAAUCCCGGGGCUCAACCUCGGAACUGCCGUUGAUACUGGGUGUCUUGAGUAUGAGAGAGGUGUGUGGAACUCCGAGUGUAGAGGUGAAAUUCGUAGAUAUUCGGAAGAACACCAGUGGCGAAGGCGACACACUGGCUCAUUACUGACGCUGAGGCGCGAAAGCGUGGGGAGCAAACAGGAUUAGAUACCCUAGUAGUCC